AUUGGAUUCAAAGGGCAAAUUUAACCUGGACCUGAAGGCCAAUCCAGGAUCAACCCCACAACUAGUCUCCUUUUCAAGAUUGAAGUCACAAGAAUUCCAAAUCUUGGGCAUAUUUCCAUGUCCUUGAACAGAAACUGAUCUCCAACCCAAAGAAUUGACAGAUGGAAUAGUGUUUGCGUUAAAAAUAUCAAUAUUUUGAGGCCGAAGUAUUGAAUUUGGAGAUGAAAUAUCAG
This 233-nucleotide unclassified non-coding RNA is filed under the name Hevea brasiliensis (rubber tree). The record is from RNAcentral. Lineage: Eukaryota; Viridiplantae; Streptophyta; Magnoliopsida; Malpighiales; Euphorbiaceae.